Molecule: long non-coding RNA, 2362 nt
Organism: Cercocebus atys (sooty mangabey)
Lineage: Eukaryota; Metazoa; Chordata; Mammalia; Primates; Cercopithecidae
Exons: 3
Source: RefSeq, a predicted model, not a curated record
AUUUCACAUAAUAAAAAUUCCUCUUUUCUCAAGUACAUAUACCCUUACAAUAGAAAUGAGUUAGUCAUUUGUUCAUUGACUAAAUAUAUAUUGAGUACCUUCUGGUUGUCGUUACAGAUUCUAGGGGUACAAUGGUGAACAGGCGAAUGGAAUGGUGAAGUCAAGUCCUGGAGAUGACUGGUGUUAGUCCCCAGUUGUACUAAACCUGUUUUCAUGGAGUUUACACAAGAAGUGGAGACAAAAGACAGACAAUAACCAAGUAGUCAGUAAACCAAUAAAAUAAUUUCAGACAGUGGUAAGAGAGAUAAGAUAAUAAUAGCAGUGUGAUAAGAUAGAGACCCGACACUGCAGUGGGAGACUAAUUUUAGUGGCUAGGGAAAGCCUCAUUUUAUCCAAUACAGUGAAGGUAGUUUCACUGUUAAAAAAAAUACAUUUUACAUUAAAGAGAGUAUAUGCAUAUUUAUUUACUUAAUCGAUUUUCAAAAUAGCCUUUCUUAUUAUACAGAUGAAAACCGAGGCUCAGGGAAUUAAGGAAAUUGCCCAAGGCCACACAUAGCUACUAAAUGACAGAGCUGGGAUUCAAACGUUGGUCCAAUUAACCCAAAGCCCAUGCUGUCUCCACUAUACCAUAUUGCCACUCACCAAGACAGGCUCUUGAGAAAAAGGGCUUGUGUUACUGUUAGGUUUGAACAAUCUUUUUUAGUAUGUUUGAGGCCUUUUUUAACCUGUUUUCUACAUCAAAAAUAGUAAUACACAAUAUUUAUGUGAUGUUUUUCCAGGCACUUUUGUUAUCAUCAUCUCACUAUCACAUAACCACUCAGUAAGAUACAGAGCACUCACAGACCUUCGAGACCACUUUUAUAACUGAAAUGUAAAAGUUGAGUGAUUUUCCAUGAUUACAUAGCUGUGGAAUGGUGGAUAUAAACUAGAUUCGGAUUUCUUGGCUUUUAAUCUUUUUUUUUUCUCCAAUAUGCCUGUACAAAAUGUUUGUUUCCUUUUAAAGUACUGAGUUUAAGAGUUUAAAUCCAAAUAAAACCUGAGAAUUAAUUUUCAUUUCUGAUGCAGAAUACCAAGGAUUUCUCCAUUAGUCCUGGUAACUUCAUUGCGAAGAAAUGGUAAAGAGAAUAAAAGGGAGUAAGAUAAACACUGUACAGGUUUGGUGUGGAGAUUACUGAUGAAGAGUUUGACUUACUACUUGACAGAAUCCCCUUGAUGAAGAUGGAAAUGUCAGAGACCCCAGUUCAUGGCCAUGUUGGAUUCUUAGCACUCCUUUUCCACAUUUUCUCAUGUCUUUGUAAUUUUUUUAUUCUUGUUUUUAAUACAGAGAAUGUACCCCUAAAAGUACUAGGAUUAUUUAAAUUUUCUCUUUAUUGCCUAGUAUCUUACUUAUUAAUAUUUUCUAAGUGACGAAGGAUUUUUGAAAAAACAUUGUUAACAAAAAGGUAGAAUUUUUACAUGAUGAACUACGGCAAUGCAUUUGAAACUAUUUAAUGUCUUAGAACCUGAAUAGUGGACAUGGGAGGAUAAUGUGUGACUGAGAUGACAAACGAGGCAUGUGAACUGUGUUUGCAGAGUUGGAAAGAAAAUUGCAGUAAGUGACAAAAGUCAAGUCCUGGAGAUGACCGGUAUUUAGUCCCCAGUUGCACUAAACACUCCCCCACACACUGACCUUUUACCCCCUCACUCACCUCCCAAGGGACUCCCAUUACGAGACAUCUUUCUACUUUCUUUCCAGAGGAGUCUGCCUGGACAGUAGAGUACACACCCAUUGCCAAUGGUUGUGUUAAAGGCAGAGCAAGAAUGCUUUCUGAAAUACUCUCAAUCUGUAUUUUUCUAUCUGGGAACCCAAAUUUUUACUCUUUUCUAAAAUCUUUUCAUGGAUUUUAUAGGGUAGUUCAAGGCUUAAGCAUUUAAAAUUCUGAUCAGUAUUGACCAUUUUAUUCCUCGAGUACUUUAAGGCAUGUUGCAGUCCCAGGCAUCUGAUGAGUUGGGCUGAAGCCAUUGAAAGAUGGGCUGCUUCUUCCCAAAGAUACUUUUUUUCCCAGAGCAGUUUCAGAAUAUAACUAUCUUCAUCCCAUAUGCCUCCUGGACCAUCCUCCAAAUCUCAUGAUUAUCUCUUUAGCCACGAAACCCACCCAUGUUUUCUGUUAAUUCUUGAUAGCAGGGUGGAAGUUAGCAACCUGGUUUGGCCUAAAGGGCAUGAGAAGAGCAUGCUGCAAGUCAGAGAAUGUCCUCAGACAGAGUCACAGGUGCUGGCAGUAGAAAGCCCUCGAAGUGAAAAAGAACCAGGAGUGCUGAGGAAGUACCAGUAGGCCUUACCUAAAGGUUCAAGUGAUUCUCCUGCCUUAGCCUCCCGAGUAGC